UCCGCAAUGUUUUGGGGGCGAAAACACGCCGGUUUCUGGAUAAUUUGUAGCUUGGUGCAUGUUGCCUUUGCGGGAUAACACCUGCCCAGUUUAUCGCGAAUUUUGGGGGAAAUGGUCCCUAUACUAUACUGUAAACAUGACUAUCGCUGGAGCUCCUAGGUGGGACGAGCGGGUUUGCAUAGUGUUGUACAUUAAUUUGGUUUUCUGCAAGUGCUGACGCUUCGACCCAGGGUGGACUUGCGCCGGCUACCCUCGCGAAUGUGGUUAUUCUAAAAAUGAACGUGGUCCCUGCACUUCACUGCGUUAUGUGACUGCCUUUACAGCUGUAUGUUAUUUGUGCAUAAUUACGCUAAUCCUGAUUUGAGAAAUAGCCCACCUUAUCUAUUAUUAGCGUAUCUUUGUGUGUGUUCGUGUUCUUUCACCAGAUUUUACCCGCAUUCGCAAAAUGUUCGCCGGCAUGUUGCCUUUGACAAUUGCUGUGUCCCCGCCUCUUUCCUCUGGAUUUAACCCUUACGGACCUGUGUGCAGCAGGGUGGCGUGUGCUUGGGGAGAAAGACAUCAGCCUUUUGGGGAGAGCUGUCGCCUGCUUGUGCCAAAGCUGUCCAUUUGUACAACUUCGCCCUUGUGAAGGGAUGGGGCAGACGGGGAUAGUUUGGGUUGGCUGUUCUGGGACGGUAGGGAAAAGGGUCUGUACGUGUCCUACAAAAUAAAUAUUAAAAAAGGAAAGAUGUGUGGUUCAAGAAUUGUUUUCCAGCACUGCAUGUAUUGUAAGUUUCAUUGUAAAAAUCAUUAUGACAAUUUUUUUUCUCCUUUUAAGCUUUUUGUGACUUGUUGCACUCGAGCACCUAAAGCCUAGCUACCCAGAUCUAGCCGUCAGAUCCGGCGGUACCGCUGGUUUUUUCUACCUGGUAGUUAAUUGGCUGAUUAAUGUCACUGAUUGGCCAGUGAUCUCGCACACCUGGUGUCCCAGGUUUAAAUCAGUCCCUGAUUAGAGGCGAAGAAUAAAAACCAGCAGGACUACUGGCCUUGGGGACCAGAUUUGAGUAACCCUGACCUGGAGGCAUAACCUGUAUGUAGUACCCCGAUCUAAAGGGAUAACCUGUAUGUGAAAACUCUAUUGUAAACUGCGCUGCCUGUGAAACAUGCUGCCUGUGUGAAACCACGCUGGCUGUGUAAACUGUGCUGCCCAUGUAAACUGCACUGCCUGUGUAAACUGUGCUGCCUGUGGAAACCACACUGCCUGUGUUAACUGUGCUGCCUGUGGAAACCACACUGCCUGUGUAAACUGUGCUGCCCAUGUAAACUGCACUGCCUGUGUAAACUGUGCUGCCCAUGUAAACUGCGCUGCCUGUGAAACAUGCUGCCUGUGGAAACCACGCUGGCUGUGUAAACUGUGCUGCCCAUGAAAACUGCACUGCCUGUGUAAACUGUGCUGCCCAUGUAAACUGCACUGCCUGUGUAAACUGUGCUGCCCAUGUAAACUGCACUGCCUGUGAAACAUGCUGCCUGUGGAAACCACGCUGGCUGUGUAAACUGUGCUGCCUGUGGAAACCACACUGCCUGUGUAAACUGCUGCCCAUGUAAACUGCACUGCCUGUGUAAACUGUGCUGCCCAUGUAAACUGCGCUGCCUGUGAAACAUGCUGCCUGUGGAAACCACA
This is a long non-coding RNA of Anguilla anguilla (European eel), 1660 nucleotides long. RefSeq lists it as uncharacterized. The record is from RefSeq and is a predicted model, not a curated record. Lineage: Eukaryota; Metazoa; Chordata; Actinopteri; Anguilliformes; Anguillidae. The transcript is spliced from 2 exons.